AAUGGAGAGUUUGAUCCUGGCUCAGGAUGAACGCUGGCGGUCUGCUUAACACAUGCAAGUCGAACGGGAAUCUUCGGAUUCUAGUGGCGGACGGGUGAGUAACGCGUGAGAAUCUGCCUUCAGGACGGGGAUAACAGUUGGAAACGACUGCUAAGACCGGAUGUGCCGAGAGGUGAAAUAUUUAUAGCCUGAAGAUGAGCUCGCGUCCGAUUAGCUAGUUGGUAAGGUAAAAGCUUACCAAGGCGACGAUCGGUAGCUGGUCUGAGAGGACGAUCAGCCACACUGGGACUGAGACACGGCCCAGACUCCUACGGGAGGCAGCAGUGGGGAAUUUUCCGCAAUGGGCGAAAGCCUGACGGAGCAAGACCGCGUGGGGGAGGAAGGUUCUUGGAUUGUAAACCCCUUUUCUCAGGGAAGAACAAAAUGACGGUACCUGAGGAAUCAGCAUCGGCUAACUCCGUGCCAGCAGCCGCGGUAAUACGGAGGAUGCAAGCGUUAUCCGGAAUAAUUGGGCGUAAAGCGUCCGUAGGUGGCUGUUCAAGUCUGCCGUUAAAGACCGGGGCUUAACCCUGGAAAGGCGGUGGAAACUGAGCGGCUAGAGUGCAGUAGGGGUAGAGGGAAUUCCCAGUGUAGCGGUGAAAUGCGUAGAGAUUGGGAAGAACACCGGUGGCGAAAGCGCUCUGCUGGACUGCAACUGACACUGAGGGACGAAAGCUAGGGGAGCGAAUGGGAUUAGAUACCCCAGUAGUCCUAGCCGUAAACGAUGGAUACUAGGUGUGGCCUGUAUCGACCCGGGCCGCGCCGUAGCUAACGCGUUAAGUAUCCCGCCUGGGGAGUACGCACGCAAGUGUGAAACUCAAAGGAAUUGACGGGGGCCCGCACAAGCGGUGGAGUAUGUGGUUUAAUUCGAUGCAACGCGAAGAACCUUACCAGGACUUGACAUGUCCGGAACCUUCUGGAAACAGAAGGGUGCCUUCGGGAACCGGAACACAGGUGGUGCAUGGCUGUCGUCAGCUCGUGUCGUGAGAUGUUGGGUUAAGUCCCGCAACGAGCGCAACCCUCGUCCUUAGUUGCCAUCAUUAAGUUGGGCACUUUAGGGAGACUGCCGGUGACAAACCGGAGGAAGGUGGGGAUGACGUCAAGUCAGCAUGCCCCUUACGUCCUGGGCUACACACGUACUACAAUGCUACGGACAAAGGGCAGCAAGUUAGCAAUGACAAGCAAAUCCCAUAAACCGUGGCUCAGUUCAGAUCGCAGGCUGCAACUCGCCUGCGUGAAGGCGGAAUCGCUAGUAAUCGCCGGUCAGCAUACGGCGGUGAAUCCGUUCCCGGGCCUUGUACACACCGCCCGUCACACCAUGGGAGUUGGCCACGCCCGAAGUCGUUACCCUAACCUGCAAAGGAGGGGGACGCCGAAGGCAGGGCUGAUGACUGGGGUGAAGUCGUAACAAGGUAGCCGUACCGGAAGGUGUGGCUGGAUCACCUCCUUUU
RNAcentral lists this ribosomal RNA (1490 nucleotides) under Coleofasciculus sp. FACHB-64. RNAcentral's name for it is "bacterial SSU rRNA". It matches the Rfam family "Bacterial small subunit ribosomal RNA". The record is from RNAcentral. Lineage: Bacteria; Bacillati; Cyanobacteriota; Cyanophyceae; Coleofasciculales; Coleofasciculaceae.